GACGAACGCUGGCGGCGUGCUCACACAUGCAAGUCGCACGGAAAGGCCCUGCUUUUGUGGGGUGCUCGAGUGGCGAACGGGUGAGUAACACGUGAGUAACCUGCCCUUGACUUUGGGAUAACUUCAGGAAACUGGGGCUAAUACCGGAUAGGAGCUCCUGCUGCAUGGUGGGGGUUGGAAAGUUUCGGCGGUUGGGGAUGGACUCGCGGCUUAUCAGCUUGUUGGUGGGGUAGUGGCUUACCAAGGCUUUGACGGGUAGCCGGCCUGAGAGGGUGACCGGCCACAUUGGGACUGAGAUACGGCCCAGACUCCUACGGGAGGCAGCAGUGGGGAAUAUUGCACAAUGGGCGGAAGCCUGAUGCAGCAACGCCGCGUGCGGGAUGACGGCCUUCGGGUUGUAAACCGCUUUCGCCUGUGACGAAGCGUGAGUGACGGUAAUGGGUAAAGAAGCACCGGCUAACUACGUG
RNAcentral lists this ribosomal RNA (467 nucleotides) under uncultured bacterium. RNAcentral describes it as "partial 16S ribosomal RNA". It matches the Rfam family "Bacterial small subunit ribosomal RNA", at positions 28 to 507 of the family's 1533-position model. The record is from RNAcentral.